Molecule: ribosomal RNA, 487 nt
Filed under: uncultured bacterium
Lineage: Bacteria
Description: bacterial SSU rRNA
Rfam family: Bacterial small subunit ribosomal RNA
Source: RNAcentral
CUACGUGCCAGCAGCCGCGGUAAUACGUAGGGUGCGAGCGUUAAUCGGAAUUACUGGGCGUAAAGCGAGCGCAGACGGUUACUUAAGCAGGAUGUGAAAUCCCCGGGCUCAACCUGGGAACUGCGUUCUGAACUGGGUAGCUAGAGUAUGUCAGAGGGGGGUAGAAUUCCACGUGUAGCAGUGAAAUGCGUAGAGAUGUGGAGGAAUACCGAUGGCGAAAGCAGCCCCCUGGGAUAAUACUGACGUUCAUGCUCGAAAGCGUGGGUAGCAAACAGGAUUAGAUACCCUGGUAGUCCACGCCCUAAACGAUGUCGAUUAGCUGUUGGGCAGCUUGACUGCUUAGUAGCGUAGCUAACGCGUGAAAUCGACCGCCUGGGGAGUACGGUCGCAAGAUUAAAACUCAAAGGAAUUGACGGGGACCCGCACAAGCGGUGGAUGAUGUGGAUUAAUUCGAUGCAACGCGAAGAACCUUACCUGGUCUUGACAU